CCUCUGCCUUGUGGGAUCCAAAAACAAAGUUCUGUGAGUUUGCUUCAUUUUUCCUGCUCUGGUCUCUGUAGUUACUGUCGCCAACCCCUUGCCUCCUGGACAGAUCUCCCGUCUCCUGAGAGGUCCCCACCAGAACGUCUUUAUAUGACAACUGCCCUACUGAUUGACUUGGACCUGAGGCAGGUUCUGUUCUGUUCUGAUCUUUUCUCUUAGAUGUCUUCUCAGGCACCUCCUGUGUUACUGAGGGAGCUGGACUAGUAGAUUGUUUUUGACUAGUGUUUGGCUCAUCUGUUGGGUCAGAACCCCUCUGAUCACCAAGGGAUACUUGGGAUUGGUCAACACACUUCUUUGAGUUUGCUUCAUUUGUUAUAUUCUCGUCGGUCUGGUUACUAGAGGUCUUCAGUUCAUUCAGAACUCUAACCUCUGUGUUGCCUUCACCAUCAAGGCUUUUUGAUGGCUCCGUUGACCCGUGUGACGUCCCCUUCAGGUCUUCCUCAUCCAAGAGUUUACUGGCUGGUUGAGUUGGGUCUGAGGCACGUCCUCCUGUGUUCUGAUCAGCUGUCUCGGGUGUGGAUGAGGCCUGUGUGACUGAUGUAGGACUAGGUUGGUUUGGCUCAUUCACUGGUGCGUCUACGUUUGCCUUCGAUGGACCCUUGGCCUGGUCUUCUGGCAGUGUCUGGUGUGGGGAUGGGUUUGGAGAGGCUAUAGGUAUGGUUGGAGGGCCAGUAGGUGUGGCGGUGAUGACAGGAGGGCCAGUAGGUGUGGCAAUGUUGACAGGAGGGCCAGUAGGUGUGGUGGUGUUGACAGGAGGGCCAGUAGGUGUGGCGGUGUUGACAGGAGGGCCAGUAGGUGUGGCAGUGUUGACAGGAGGGCCAGCAGGUGUGGCGGUGUUGACAGGAGGGCCAGUAGGUGUGGCAGUGUUGACAGGAGGGCCAGUACGUGUGGCAGUGUUAACAGGAGGGCCAGUAGGUGUAGUGGUGUUGACAGGAGGGUCAUCCACCACUGAAGUAGAGCUCUCACUGACAGACAACUCAUCUUUCUCUUGACGUGUGUCAGUGCUCAGCUCAAUAGCGCUGGAAGAGCCUCCACUCUAUGAACAAUGUAUACAAAAAUGAGGCCUUUUAACACAUAAAUCAUUAAGGAUCAGCAUUUCUGAUUCAUAAGCCCUGCCCAUUAAAGCGUUCCCAUUCCAUGCUAAUUUCACUGGGUUCCCUUGACUUAAAACCCACGUCUGGUCACAUCCUAACGUCACAAAUUGAAAGUGUGACUGGUUCUGUUUAAACAAAUAUAUAAUUGUAAAUCUCUUAUC
Oncorhynchus tshawytscha (Chinook salmon) is the source of this 1309-nucleotide long non-coding RNA. NCBI's taxonomy places the organism in Eukaryota, Metazoa, Chordata, Actinopteri, Salmoniformes, Salmonidae. The record is from Ensembl.